UCGGAUUCAGUCCAUGGAUCUUAGUGUAUACAUCUCAAUUAAUCAGUUCUUUGGCUUGUCUCCCCACGUGCCACGCUACCACCACGCGUGAAAUGCGCCCGUCCCGGUGCGGGCGACUUGGUGUUUUCGCUGGCGGCCCCCGGCCCCGAGAACCCCGCGGAGCCCACCGUCAGCCGCGCGAGCUUGCCCGCCUCUGCGCCGCCCCGCGGUGGAGGCGGCCGCCGGGGCCCGCCGGGCUCUGCCCUCAGAUUGAAAAGUCUGUUUGUCAGCAAGAUGGCUGGAACGGAUGUCCCAGGUCUGGAUGAGACCCUUGAGGAAGACUGGUGAGUUAGAGACAUAGUAUUUUCUCAGUAAGAAUUGUGAAGCAUAGCACACAUGCACAAACAUGACUUUUAAAAACUAACAAUAAUGUGAACACAUAUAUUAUCAUCAUUUAAAUGAGACUAAAGAGUGUUGCCAAUAAUCCACAGUCCCCCAUAUUUUCCCCAAUAGCAUUUUCCCUUCCUGCCCUUUCAGAAGUAAUGAUUUUCCUAACUUUCUGAGGCAGCAUUCUAUUGCCUUCCUUCAUAUUUUAUCUCCCGCAUUUAAAUCCCCAAAAUCUUGUUUAAUUUUUCCUGUUUCUAAAUUUUACAUCAAUUUACUAUAUGUAUGCACUUGUGUCUUUUGCAUAAUUCUUUGCUAAUGGAAUUUGUCCAUAUUGUUGCAUGUGGAUGUACUUCAUUCAUUUUUCAUUGCUGUGCAGUAUUCUUUUGUAAGAACAGAAUAUUCUACCACUAUCCACUUAUCCAUUCUACUUUUGAUGAAAGUGUGGGUGGUUUCCAGUGGUGAGCCAUGACAAUUACUGCUGUGUGAGUGCAUCUUAAGGUGUGCACAUGCACAUAUAUACAUGUAAGCCCAGCAGUGGGCUUACAGGGCUGUGGCAUAUAGAUGUUCUUCACUCUUCUGAGUAAUGCUACACUGUUUUCUCAAGUGGUUGCUUCACUUCAAGUGUCAGCAGCCAUGUGUGAGUUCCACCCUCCUAGGCAAGCGUGGUGCUCGUCAUCGGGCAGCUGUGUAAUGAAACCUCAGGGUAGUAAUAGGAUGCACUCCCCGAGUGAGCCUUAGUAUGUGUUCUUGCUUAUUAAUCUACUGAUAACUAAUUAAUUGAUUCAAAAUUUCAGAUUUCCAUGAAUGGCACUUUCAAAUCCUCUACCCACUUCCAUGUUGGGUUUUUUUGGUUGUUUCAGAUUGGGUUUCUCAGAAAACAGAGCUUACAACAAGUGAACAUGUGCUAAUAUUUUGUAGUGGGGCAUGCUGGGAGUUGUGAGUGUGGAAGAGGAGAGGGAGGCCUGGGAAGAGGGAAGGCACAGUAAACACAUUUUAGGACUUUUGGCCACCACAGGAUACUAUUUCUGAUUAAACAAGAUGUACUUUAGUGUUACAAUGACUUGUUAAUAACUGUUUAUAAUAUUUAAGUGGAAGCAUAUAUUUUCCCAAGAUAACUCAGUACUAUAAAGAUACCCAGUUUUCUAGUAAACUUAACAAAAUUUGAACUUUCAAGAGAAAGCAAACAUCUUUUGCAUGAAAUAUGGUUGGGAAAAACAAUAUAAUAAAAUAACAAAAACUAAGACA
This 1611-nucleotide long non-coding RNA is filed under the name Oryctolagus cuniculus (rabbit). RNAcentral's name for it is "lncRNA (ENSOCUG00000039366.1)". The record is from RNAcentral. Lineage: Eukaryota; Metazoa; Chordata; Mammalia; Lagomorpha; Leporidae.